CAGUCGCCGCGGUAAUACGAAGGGGGCUAGCGUUGUUCGGAAUUACUGGGCGUAAAGCGCACGUAGGCGGAUAUUUAAGUCAGGGGUGAAAUCCCGCAGCUCAACUGCGGAACUGCCUUUGAUACUGGGUAUCUUGAGUAUGGAAGAGGUUAGUGGAAUUGCGAGUGUAGAGGUGAAAUUCGUAGAUAUUCGCAGGAACACCAGUGGCGAAGGCGGCUAACUGGUCCAUAACUGACGCUGAGGUGCGAAAGCGUGGGGAGCAAACAGGAUUAGAUACCCCCGUAGUCCCUGUCUCUUAUAA
RNAcentral lists this ribosomal RNA (301 nucleotides) under uncultured bacterium. RNAcentral describes it as "partial 16S ribosomal RNA". It matches the Rfam family "Bacterial small subunit ribosomal RNA", at positions 509 to 809 of the family's 1533-position model. The record is from RNAcentral.